GACGAACGCUGGCGGCGUGCUUAACACAUGCAAGUCGAACGGAAAGGCCCUGCUUUUGUGGGGUGCUCGAGUGGCGAACGGGUGAGUAACACGUGGGUAACCUGCCCUUGACUUUGGGAUAACUUCAGGAAACUGGGGCUAAUACCGGAUAGGAGCUCCUGCUGCAUGGUGGGGGUUGGAAAGUUUCGGCGGUUGGGGAUGGACUCGCGGCUUAUCAGCUUGUUGGUGGGGUAGUGGCUUACCAAGGCUUUGACGGGUAGCCGGCCUGAGAGGGUGACCGGCCACACUGGGACUGAGAUACGGCCCAGACUCCUACGGGAGGCAGCAGUGGGGAAUAUUGCACAAUGGGCGGAAGCCUGAUGCAGCAACGCCGCGUGCGGGAUGACGGCCUUCGGGUUGUAAACCGCUUUCGCCUGUGACGAAGCGUGAGUGACGGUAAUGGGUAAAGAAGCACCGGCUAACUACGUG
RNAcentral lists this ribosomal RNA (468 nucleotides) under uncultured bacterium. Its description in RNAcentral is "partial 16S ribosomal RNA". It matches the Rfam family "Bacterial small subunit ribosomal RNA", at positions 28 to 507 of the family's 1533-position model. The record is from RNAcentral.